This 482-nucleotide ribosomal RNA is filed under the name uncultured bacterium. Its description in RNAcentral is "partial 16S ribosomal RNA". It matches the Rfam family "Bacterial small subunit ribosomal RNA", at positions 30 to 507 of the family's 1533-position model. The record is from RNAcentral.
AUUGAACGCUGGCGGCAUGCCCUACACAUGCAAGUCGAACGGUAACGGGCCUUCGGGUGCCGACGAGUGGCGAACGGGUGAGUAAUACAUCGGAACGUGCCCGAUCGUGGGGGAUAACGAGGCGAAGGCUUUGCUAAUACCGCAUACGAUCUACGGAUGAAAGCAGGGGACCGCAAGGCCUUGCGCGGACGGAGCGGCCGAUGGCAGAUUAGGUAGUUGGUGGGAUAAAAGCUUACCAAGCCGACGAUCUGUAGCUGGUCUGAGAGGAUGAUCAGCCACACUGGGACUGAGACACGGCCCAGACUCCUACGGGAGGCAGCAGUGGGGAAUUUUGGACAAUGGGCGCAAGCCUGAUCCAGCCAUGCCGCGUGCAGGAUGAAGGCCUUCGGGUUGUAAACUGCUUUUGUACGGAACGAAAAGCCUUCUUUUAAUACAGGAGGGUCAUGACGGUACCGUAAGAAUAAGCACCGGCUAACUACGUG